Molecule: unclassified non-coding RNA, 349 nt
Filed under: Hevea brasiliensis (rubber tree)
Lineage: Eukaryota; Viridiplantae; Streptophyta; Magnoliopsida; Malpighiales; Euphorbiaceae
Source: RNAcentral
GACUGUACAUCUGGGCUUGGGAAUAAACCACCAAUAUUGGGCCUAGUGACAGAUGUUUUCCCAACACCACCUCCUGAACCUUGCACAGUCCAGUCCUUCAUGGACCAACAAUUAGCUGGAGACGGCUCAAAAGGAUGGUUGGUUACAGUGCCUGUAGGACUCCCAUAAAUUAUUUCAUUCUGAAUAUUCUCUUCCUGAGCUUUCAGAGAGAAAUGGCUAUCACUCCCUGACAAUGGUGGGAAAAAGGCAUUCUGUGACCAUGGAUCAUUAUCACUUGAACCACUAACUGGACUAAACACCCCACUAUUCUGGCCAUUGCCAAGAAAAACCUUCUGUGGAGAAUGAGUAC